RNAcentral lists this long non-coding RNA (20616 nucleotides) under Daucus carota (carrot). RNAcentral's name for it is "long non-coding RNA (DCAR_LNC003428)". Lineage: Eukaryota; Viridiplantae; Streptophyta; Magnoliopsida; Apiales; Apiaceae. The record is from RNAcentral.
CAACUUUUGCCACCCUUUUAAAAGUAAUCAAAGUAUAUACAUGAUCAAAUUAUAUACGUUUGGCAUUCCUUGCCAGUGCUUGAAUAGGAGAUGCUCUUAUGAUAUUUCCAUUAUACAAAAGUUUUCCCAUUUUGAUUGAUGCGUAAAAAAAACGCAAGCGCAACAGCUCUGAGGAUUGAAAUUCUUUGAAAAGAUAUCAGCAGUAUUAAUUAGUAACUUAUGUACUACUUUAGUAACUUAUGUACUACUACAUAAUUCUUCUUUUUUUCCUUAUCAGUCCCAAUUGGGAAGUGAUUCCGAUUUAGGUAAACACAAAUACAAUCUACAAAGAUACCGCCAUUCUGUGACUUCUGAGUUCUAACUAAUAUUAUCUCACAGUUAUUGUUGUUAAUUUUGACAAAUUCAUAUAAAGAAUUACCCUUGGCGCUGGCCUGUUGUAAGUAGCCUUGAUUACCCCUGCUGUCCUGCACAUUUCUUGUUUUGCCCCAACUCAUUUUCUCUAGUUGAACAAGAACAUCUCUAUAAGCUUCGCUGCAUUAUUGAUGACAGAUACACAGUCAUGAUAUAAGUAUGCCCAAUCAGCAACUUACUUCAAGUAGAUAAUACACAAUUAAUAUUCAAUAGCAUCCAAAUUCUGUAUCUUCAAUUCUGGAUUUGCAAAUCCCAGCAGUUAUGUCAGAUUUUUCAUCUUACUAAAAACUUGUACAGCUGAUGUCCAAAAUACUUUGUGGAGUACUGAUUACUGGAGAUAUUUUUCAGCUUCACAGUCAUUGCGUACUUCACAAACCCACUGCCUUGAAACCUAGGCUCGAUAGCCCAAAUUAGCAUGUCGCAGAUAGAUACUUGGUUCCAUAUCCUUCCUGUUGCUGAUAUAUUUACAUGGAAUUGUGAUGCUAUUCUUUUUGUCUUUUAGAUAGGUUGUAGUUUCAGCUCUGAAAGAUGUUCUCUUCCUAACCCCGACAUUAAUGUUUGGAAGGGCCGUUUAAAGUAUCAACCUGGUCAAGUGAGUGUGAGAGCCCUUGGGAUGCUUGCUGGCGGUUCUGGCAUUACUCCAAUGUUUCAGGCAUGAUUCUCUACUAUAUAUUAAAUAUCUACAAUAAUCAUAAGAUAUCUUCCUAUGUUCAAUUAUUAUUAGCUAAGGUUUAGUAGUAAUGUUAUUGCUUACUUUGAUUUCAUCUUGCAGGUAGCUAGAGCUGUAUUAGAAAACCUAAACGAUACCACUAAGGUGCAUCUCAUUUAUGCCAAUGUUUGUUUAGAGGACAUGCUUUUGAAGGUAAUUCCUAGUACUCUUUUUAUUUCAGAAGUAUGUUUGUUAGAAAAGAGUAGUUUUAAACUUUAUACGAAGUACAAUUUUAAUUUAAUAUUGAGUGAGUUUGACUGAGGUACAGAGGUCACGUGCACAGAAGGUGAUAAAAACUGGUAUAUAGGUUUUGAAUUUUCUCCCUCCCUGCCUCCUGGUGCAAAGUUGUUUCACUGCACUGAUGGGGUGCCCCUCAUCUGAUUAAUGACCGUGUUGAUGAGGCUUUAGUCUGUGGGUGCUUUUAUGAUGUCAAUUAUAAAGUUUUUACUUGGUUAUCAUGAUACUUGACUGGUCGUAGAUAGUCAACGACUUGUCGGUAUAAUCUAUAACAACUAGGGCCAACAACUUGGGUGUUGUCAACUAGGUCAAAAUUUGGGUCACACCUAACCCAUAACAUCACACAACUAGGUCAAAACUCAGGUCACACCAAUCUAUAACGUCAUGCAAGAGAGCAAGGGAAUAGGUCAAAACUCGGGUCACACACUCACAUCCAACCUCUAACGUCACACAUCUAUUUACUAUUCAAAUUAGGUUAUAAAAUUAAUCUGAUUAACUGUUUAGAACAUCACGAUCUCAUGACGUACAGUUUUAAACUAUUCUAUAAGGCUAAAGCGUCAGUGUAAUAUAACACUGACAGAAGUUUUUCACUUACUUCAGUGUCUUGUCCCUUCUGGUAAUGCAUAUGACCGAAGUUUCAUGACGUGUUAUGUACAAUUAUAUAUAUAAUUUAUUAGUUCCGACAUGAAUAUGGACUAGCAGAUAUUAGACGAUGACUAGUUAGCUGGUCGGAUUCUUGUUAACUUGAGUUACUGUCAUAUCAACGUUAUUUCUUACAAUCACGAAACAGUGAUAACUAUCAGCUCAUGUAAAAUGCUUUAAGGGUUAGAUGUUCGAUACAUUCCAAGGUUAUGCAUUAACAACCGGGGCAUUAAAUUUGAGGAUCAGUUAUAUUAAAAUUCAAACAUCAUUUUGGUGUAGAUUUUUGUCAUGAAUGGGGAAACAUAAUUAAUAUCUUUGAUAAUCAUAGUUAGUUGUUUUCCAUGGUAAAUAGUUUAUCUAAAAUACUCAUGACCCUUACAACCUUCCAAGUUAAACUUAAGUAAAAAGACUUACACUCUAGAAGUAAGAAGAUGCAGAGUCAACUUACUGAAUGAAUCAAUUUAUAUAUGUAUUUUUAGGAAGAGAUAGACAGACUUGCUUCAAACUACCCUGACCACUUUAAAGUUUACUCGCACUAAAUCAGGUUUGUUGCUCCUUUAUUUAGCCAUCAUCUCUCUUCUUUUCCAUGGCACUGCGUUGACACUUAAUACUAUCGAGUAAAAUGUAGAAGGCUGAUAAUGAUGUGUACCCCUGCAAAUAUGGGAUGGUGGUGUAGGAUUUGUAACCAGGAAAAGAUCCAAACUCAUAGCCGCCCCUAGCCUGCAUUUGAUAUUCAGGUAGAUUUUGUUCAAUACAACAUAAUAUUGUGAAAAAAUUCCAAAAGUAGCUGAUUCUUUUCUGAGAAAAAUGGCCGAUUUUGAGUUGUGGAUCCCCACUGAUGAAUAAGGCCAUGGAUGCUAACCUUGAAGCCCUGGGAUAUGCACCGGAAACGCAGUUUCAGUUUUGAAAUUGUGAUAAGAACUUGCAUGUGUUCGUCACACAUGCAGUCUUCUGUUGUUUAAUCUUCAAUGUACUUUUUGUUAAACAUUUAGCCAUUAAAAACAUAUAUACUUCAGGUGACUUGACCCUUGUCAGAGAGUAUCUUGCCCAGUAUAACUGCUGUGCAAUUUUAUUUCUAGAUCAACUGAUUUUUUUUAACAAAAUGAGCUUUUUUAUUUCAAGAACAUAAUGAAUUUUUCUACUCUAAAAAAUUACUACCUCUUUUCUGUAACUACUAUAAAACAACCCUUGAAAAAGCAUUUUGGGACUGGAUGUGUGUAUUAGCUACAUUAGCUCAAAGAGGGCAAUGAUUAUUUGUAAAUUUUGUUAAUAUAUAUUACACUAACAGAAGUAAUCUGGGACUAGCAUUACAGUUCAAAUAAUUAAAAAAUUAUCAUUAAUUUGUAUUAUGUACUCAUAUAAAUCCUUUCCUAUUUACAUACUUCGGAUUAUUUUUCAGUUAUUUGAUUUAUGCCAUUUUAGAUAAUUUUUCUUUACCCUUCAUUUAUUUGAUUCUUAUUUUUAUAGAUGGUCCCUAUGCGGUUACUCCUUUAAGAAGAAAAAUACAAAAGCCUGUUUGUACCCUCAUCCUUAGCCAACAUUAGUCUUCGUCAUAUAUAACCUUGGAUUUUCUCUAUACCUUCACAAUUAAACACACACACAAACACACACAAACUAUUUAGGCCUCCUUUGAGAUAUACAAUAAAUUGGUAAUAUCUUGUGUUGAACUAGUGAUAAGAAUGGAGACUAUCAUUGAAGAGUACGAGAACAAUAAUUCACAUUUCUAUGACAGUGAUGACAUCACCACCGACGAAGAAGAAGAAGUGCAGGAGCAAGAUGACGAAGAAAGCGCUGCAGAAGAGUACAACAGCAGCACUGAUAUCUACAGCUGUGGAGGUGGAAACCUGGGAACAAAGAUGUUAGGAUCAUCAUCAAAGAAGUCAUGGUUACAAGAAUGGGACCAUGUGUUUCCUUUAAUAUCAGCUCUAUGUUUGUUCCUUGAUCCUACCUUCUUUUACACACUCUCUCUUAACGAAGAUGGCAUGUGUUUUUUCAUUGAUUCCUGGUUUGCACUCGGCCUCUCGCUUCUCCGAUCAGUUAAUGAUGCCUUGCACAUCUGGAAUAUGUGGCAUCACUACCGCAGAUCAACCCCUGCUGCUGCUGUGCAUGGGGUCCGGAGAAGGUGCGGUGGUAUAGCAUUGCAGAAUUUCAAGGGCAAAAUGGUCUUCUUCCUUAAUGCAUUUGUCCUCUUACCUUUGCCACAGGUCAGAAAUUUUUUUAUGAAAUUACUUUCUAUUGAUCUGAACUCACUUAAUUACUCUUACAAUCCAAAUAUACACAGUGUAAUCUAUUGUAUUAAACAAAAUAAAAUUACAUUGUCGAAGUUUGUUGUACCAGAGUAAAAGAAAAAAUAAAUUGUUGGAUCAGAUUGAAGUAGAUAAUAUCAAAAUUGUACCCUCAUUUGGAGGCAUGCACUUAAAUGAGUUAUGCACUUAAAGGGUUUCCUUCCAAAGAUGACAAACAUAUUCAUGUCACCCUAUUAUGUACUUAUCUCUUCUUUUUUCUUAUUCUUUUUUUUUUCUUUUUUGUUUUUUCUUAUGCUUUGCCUUGGAAAUUCCAAAUAUCUUAUGUGUUCAUUUUAUUUGCACGACAUUUGAAUAUUAUGUGAAUUUAAUUUUCGUGAUGUUAUUAUUGUGUGAAAAUUAAUUAUUACUUGGACGAGUUUGGUAAUCUCUGCAGGUUGUAAUAUUGAUUGUGGUUCCGGCCAUGUUGAAGAAUGGUGAACAAGCAAGAGCGAUGACUGUAAUGCUCAUAAUAUUUCUGUUCCAAUACUUUCCCAAGAUAUACACUACUGUUUGCUUGUUGCGCCGCAUGCUCUUUCAGUACAUUUUUGGAGCAGCUUGGUGGGGGAUAGGCCUAAAUAUCAUUGCAAUUUUAGUAGCUUCACAUGUAAGUACAACACACAUAGAGAUGACUAAAGUUUUGUUUUGGCUAGUGUUUUAGCGGCAUUAAUCAAUUAUUUGUUGUGUGUUUUCUUGAGUUGAGUAAUGAAUUAUGUGCAGGUGGUGGGAGCAUGUUUCUACUUGCUAGGAACACAAAGGUCAGCUAGGUGCUUGAUGGAGCAAUGUAUGAAAACAGAGAGUUGUACAUUUAAAGCACUAUCUUGUGAAAAUCCUUUCUCUUUCGGCGGAGCAUAUAAGGUGACAAACAAUAUUAGAAGGUCAUGGGGAAGUAACAAUGAUGCCAGAUCAUGGUGCCUCCAAAGCAGUGAUAAUAGUCGGUAUGAUUACGGAGCCUUCGAAUGGAUCACUCUACUCGUUUGCAAUAACAGCCGUAUAGAGAAGAUGCUUCUUCCGCUCUUUUGGGGCGUCAUGAUGCUCUGGUAAGUAAACAUCCAUAAUUUUUCUUUAUUGUUAAUUAACUAAGUGUGUACAUCACACUUAGUUUGAUAUGAUGAUGCAGCACAUUUGGGAACCUUGGGAGCACUGAUGACUGGUUAGAGAUUGUGUUCAUGAUGAUUGUGACUGCAUGCGGCCUCGUGUUGGUCACCAUUUUAAUGAGCAACAUUAAGGUAAACAUUUCAUAGAAAAGAUGUAGGUUUGGACACUUACUUUGGCCUUUGAAGAUGUCUUUUAACAUGAUAAGUUCAUUUUUGUACCACAAAUUAUUUAAUUAGUUAUAUUUCCCAUUAAAAGAUUUUAGGAAUGUUUUUAUGGUUUCAUCUAAUCAGAAAAUAAUGUGUUUAUAUUCAGGUUUACUUGAUAGCAACAUCAUCUAAGAAACUUGCAAGGAAAGUAAACGUUAACAAUAUCGAAUGGUGGAUGGAGAGGAGGAACAUGCCACAGGGAUUGCGUCAUAGAGUACGUAAAUAUGAGCAGCACCAUUGGAUUGCAACGCGUGGCAUAGAUGAAGGUGAUGUGAUUCGAAGUCUCCCCGAGGAUCUUAGGAGAGAGAUUAAGUACUAUCUCUGCCUGGAUUUGGUGAGAGAGGUAAAUACCGACCUUACUUGUGAUACCUAUAGAUAUUAUAUAUAAUAUGUGUAUAUAUAUAUACAUACAUAUAUAUAGAGUUAAAAAAGUUUAUCAAUCUGAAACAAAUUAAACCAAAUUAGAUAAAUACACUAUCUCGCACUGUUAGAAGACAGACUAUUAGUGGUAGUAAAAAUUGUUCCACCUUGUCUUAUAAUUUUGAAUAGAUUAAGGUGAUGGUUUUAAGAUUAACAAAAACGUUGUACAUGUAUCAGGUACCUUUGUUCCACCACAUGGAUAGUUUGGUACUGGAGAACAUUUGCGAUAGAGUGAAACCCCUCGUCUUUCCUAAAGGAGAGAUUGUGAGUGAUUAAUUUCCAUUUAAAUUAUAUGGAUCUAAUUUAAGAACAAACACCAUUGAUUUAUACAUAAAUUUUACUUUCAGGUAAUUAAAGAAGGUGAUCCGGUACAUAGAAUGUUAUUCAUCGUAAGAGGCCAUCUUCAAUGCACGCAAGUAGUUAGAGAAGGAGUUAACAGUUGUUGCACCCUAGGCCCAGGAAAUUUUGGCGGGGAUGAGCUAUUGUCUUGGUGCUUAAGGAAGCCAUUUGUAGAAAUUCUCCCACCAUCUUCGUACACGCUUAUAAGUCUUGAAGCAACUGAAGCAUUCGGCCUUGAAGCGGAUGAUGUUAAAUAUGUGACGCAACAUUUUCCCCUGAAUGAAAAGGUGAAAAUGAUUGCUCGAUAUUAUUCCCCUGGUUGGAGGAUCUGGGCUGCUGUUACCAUUCAGCUGGCUUGGCUACGAUACAGGCACCGCUGAACACUUCCAUAUAUCAUGCCUAAAGGGCCACUGUUUCUUUCUGCUUCACUUCGAGAGGAGAGGCUCCGGCUCUUUGCUGCACUGCUGACUUCAUCUAAGCCCCAUCAAGAUAAUAGUGUUCCCUAGAUGAAAUAAUUAGGAACUGAAAACUUCAGACACCUUGUUUCUUUGAUUUUGUAACUUUCUCUCGAAUUAAAUUACAUUUGUAGUUGAAUUUGCAUUUUCGGUUGAUACUAUUUUCCAGUUGCAUGUUAGUUUCAAGUUUUAAAUUAUUUGCUAAAUGCACAUUCACUUAAUUUUAGGUGUUGGGCUCAAGUGUCACUGUUUAGCAGUAAAAGACAUCUAUUGUCACUUUCUGAAAAAUGACCCUAAUUGUCAAUUCAAAACGCAACUUGAUGUUGUGGUUACAAAAACGUAAUCUCAAGUCGUAUUUUCAGUUGAAAACGCAACUUCAAAUCAUGUUUUUAAGCAGAAAAUCAAAGCGCAACUUGAAGUCGUGUUUUAAAGUGAUAGUUAGGGCCAUUUUUCUAGAAAAUGACAUUGAGGCCCAUUUGUCUUAAAAUAGUGACUUUUGGGACCUUUGAUAUUACAGAAUCAGGACCCUGAAUUUCACAUAUUCAUCAAUUUCAAACCAGUUUGACAUAAUAUUUUUAGUUAAUUGCAAAACACAUCUUUUGUUUAGGUCUUUGGGCAAAUUGCAUUGUAUUACCAAUAUUUUAGAUAAUUACAGAAUGUAUCUUUUAACAUAUUUUGAUGCCUCAAGUUGAAUCCUUUUGGUCCAUUUUUGUCUGUAUGACCUAUUAAAUUGGAAAUUAAAAAGGUGAAAUAUACUUAAGAAUUAAUAAAAAUAUAAUUUGUAGGCUCUUGUUUACCCUUAAAUUUGACAUAUUAAUAAGCUAAGAUAAACGCAAAUAAGCCGAACGGGUUCAAUAUGACGCUAAUAUAUACUCCCUCCGUCCAAUUGAGUAGUAUACAUUUGAGGAGUGGCAUCGAAAUUAAGAAAAAGUGUAAUCUAGCGAUGAAAAGUAAGAAAAGUGGGUGAAGUGGUGGGACCCAUUAAUAUUUAAUGUGUAAAAUGAGUGUAGUAUGAGUAAAGUGGUGGGACCUACUAGUAUUUAAUGUAUAAAGUGGGUGUGGUGGAAGAAAGUAGUGGGUGUAGUUGAGUUUUUUUAUUAUAAAAAUUUACUCCCUCCGUUUCAAUUUACAUGUCCACUUCCAAGAAAAUUUUUUGUUUCAAAUUACUUGUCCACUUCAACUUUCAAUGCAAAAUCAUAGUUCCAAAGUCAAUUCUACUCCACAUUUCUCUUAUUUAUAUUUCCUAGACCAAUCUCACUCCACAUACUUUGAUCAUUUAAUGCAAUUAAUUUGUGAACAUCCAUUUUUCUUAAACUGUGUGAUUUCUUUUAAGUGGACAUCUAAUUUGAAACAGAUGGAGUACUAUUUUUGGUAUGUAUACAAUUGAUGGGACGUCGCAAAAAAGAAACUGUAUACAAUCCAAUGGGACGGAGGGAGUAUUAAGAAGGGUUUGUCUAGUGUGUGCUCAUGGGCACGUGCUAAGCACUAAAAUCAAUGAAUUUGGAGGGUUUCGAUUGGUGUGGUUGUUGUAAAUGCAGGGGAUCCACCAUUAUUAAAGAGUGCAAGCCAAUCAAAAGCUUUCAAAUUCAUAGAUUUUCGCACUUACUAUGUGCCCAUGGGCACUCCAUAGAAUAACCGUGUUAAAAAAUGCAUUACGUAAUUAUAUGAAGAUUCUUCAAAUGCAUUUAAGUUAAGUGGGUGUGGUAACAAGAGAGAGACGAAAAAUUAAAGAAGUAAGCUGAAAAAUGAGGGGCAAGUAAAAAGCUUGGCAAAAGGAGAUGGUCCGGAGCAUGGUCCAAUCAUUUAAUUAGAAUAUCCUAGUCCUAGAGAACCAGUGAAAGUGUAUAUAAAAUGAGGGAUGAUCAUCCAUAAAAACUAAUCCUCCUUUUCUAAAAUGUAUUUUCAAGAUAGUCAACUACAUAUUCUGGAAAGGCUACUUCGUAGUUGCAAGGCCUUGAAUCGAAAUAGGAUGAGUUCGCAGUAAAAUUGGAUGCAAUCCCUAAAGAUAAGCUGCUGAAAUAGAUCAAUAUGUGGACAACAUGUGAAGAUUUGAUCAAUAAUGAGGUUGUAGCCACUAUACUAAACCUGUAAUGAGUACUAGAGGUUUCCUAGAAAGAUUUACGAGAUCAAUCAUGAAGCCCAUGUUUAUCCUAGCGAUAUCUCAAAACUACUUGCUUCUCAAAUUAUAAAGACUCAAAUCAAGGUUAUUGAAGAAAGAAGAUGGACAGUGUUUGCAAACAUGGUAAGAGGUGAGAUUUUUGAAGUAUGCAUGAAAAUUAUUCAGAAAAAGAAGUAUAAUGUUGCAAAUACUCUAUUUCUUAAGUUGGAUUCUAAAGCCUCUCUCCUAAUUGAUUCUCUAAAACCACUCCUAAAGAUUAUGAUUGACUAAAUGUUGCCAGAAGUUUAGAGUUGUGGCCAAAGUUUACAUUGAUUUUCAAAACGUUGGCUAGAGUUCCAAAUUCUCAAAAAGAUGGCCAAACUUUGGCUUCGCUUUUUAAAACUGUGGCUCCUCUUAAAUGUCACUAACGGAAGCCUAACGGGAGCCACAUUUUUGAAAAGCGGACCAAAGUUUGGCCACUUUUCUGAGAAUUUGAAACUCAUUUUUACCCUUUUGUUCAUUCCAAAUUCUCAAAAAAGUGGCCAAAUUUUGGUCCGCUUUUCAAAAAUGUGGCUCCCGUUAGGCUCCCAUUAAUACAUUUAACAGAAGCCACACUUUUAAAAAUCGGAGCCAAAGUUUGGCCAUCUUUUUGAGAAUUUGAAACUCUGGCCAACUUUUUAAAAAUCGGUGUAAACUUUGGCCACAACUUUGAAGUUCACUCAUUGAUAUAUAAUGGUUCUGCUCAGACCUAUAUUUUGGGUCUAAAAUCUGAUGGAUAACUUUCAAAUCAAAUUCGUAUUGAUUAAGAGCCAAAGAUCAUCCCAGCAGGAUAGCUAAAAGCAAUCAUGGCCCUGGUCACCUGUAUUUGACAAUGACGAAAUGUCAUUAUCCAUGUAAAUAUGAAUUAUCAAGCCCUAUCUCCAGCCGCACGGAUUAUAUUAUGAUCAACUUAAUUUUUUUCUGAGUCUCUUACAUGAAUAAUUUGAAUCUUGAAAUAAAAAGUGAACGUUUUGAUUGUACAUUAAUUACCUGAUAGGCUGAUAAUUAUUAGGAUAUACAACAGCUAACUUGUACGCAUAUAUUUGAAAUUUGUAGUUCAGUGUGAUCUCAAUUGGAACUCUUGUGUGGUUAGUUAAUAGUGCGUUAAGCAGUAAUUUAAUGGCGAUAGACAUUAAUCAAUGACAGUUGCGAGUUUUAAUCUAGAGUUUUAGUGAUCUCUUUAUUAUACUUAAGACUUAAUGACCUUUGAACCCCAAGUUUUACAUCAAUAUACCCAGAUGUCCUUGUGUUUCAAAGUCAUUCAUUUUUGCCCCUGAAGUUGCAGGUGGGUAUAUUAGUGCAAACCUUGAGUUUCAGAAGGCCAUUAAGCCUUUACUUAACGGUGACAAUCUUUAAAAAUGGUGCAAGAAUUGUACUUGGGAAAUAUAUGAUACGCUUUGUUUUUAAUUUGAAAAUAGGAGGACCGGUUAAGUGUCGAUGAAGCUUUACGGCGUCCUUAUUUUACACAAAAUGCACAAGGUCCUAAACAUGGACCGAUAUAGAUUGAAUUGGCAUCGCUGCAUAAGAAGUUCCGUAUACAUAGAGGUACUUUGUUUAUCUGGAGCUGUGCUAGCUGAAACUUAGUUGUAAGCAAAUUGCAUUUUUUUUGUUAUCAUAUUUUAUCUGUCUUCUGUAAGAGAACUGCACAAACUAUUUCAACCUGUUGAUAUUGGGAUGUCUUCUAGUUGAUUGAGUUAGAGAACUGAACUGUACUGAAGUUGCGAGUUGAAUGAAUUACUACAGCCCAACCUGCACUUGUUCUACAAACAUCUGGUUUAGUGUAUAUACAUCAUUUGAUUAUUUAGAACACAGUUGCAUGACUAGUUGAAACUUAUAGCAUAAACCCAACAGUUGUAGAUUUGUUCAAUAAUAGUUGAAAGCAUAAAAAAGAAGAUAAAAACGGUAUCUUUACUUGUAAAUUGAUGUUCAAAAAUUGUUGAUAGCAUAAAAUAGUUUUUAAGUAGAACAAGAUGACAGUCGUUGAGGCAGAUAAGGGAUAAAUUAUAAUUAUCUACAAGUAAUUCAAUCAUAUCUUAUGAUCCGCAAGUGUAAAUGUCAUUAAAAACGUUACAUAAUCUCUGCAGCCACUGCCCCAUUCUUGUUUGCCAACAACCAUACAAACAUAAUAGCUCUGCUUACAUUAUUGGCAUGUGAGAUGAAUGAAACUGAGAAAUUAAUUGUGAUAUAAUUCUAUACAAUUCUGUAAAAGAAGGGUUGAUGUCCAUUUGCAACAUUACACCUAAUUGAAAACAAAAAAGAUAACAUAGGAGCAUUAGAGCAACUGUUGAAAUGCGUCUGACGUGUGAGGCAAAAAAAUUGUGCAUGCAGUGUCUUAAAGAGUAAGCAGGAGAAAGAAACUUUUGAUGCUAACGUACACUACUAGAAAAGCGGGCAUUUCCGACCAAAAUUUCCGACCGACCAAAGUGGUCGGAAAAAAAGCGGUCAUUUUCGACCGACUUACCGACCAAACGCGAUCGGUCGAAAAAAAGGCGUCAUUUACGACCGCCAUUACCGACCGCGCCAAAUCAGUCGGUUAUAAUGGGCGUGGGUCCCGCUCACCAACGUUCUUCAGCUGACAUGGACGCCACAUCGGUAAAACCGACCAACCCAUUUCCGACUGCCUGUGGUCAUUUCCGACCACCUUGACUGGUUUAAAAUAAUUGGUAACAUUUUAACUAGUUGUCGACCUGUGAUUGGCUGAGUGGAGACGAGGUGGAGCCCAGAUUAUUUCCGACCGAUUUUGACGGUCGGAAAUGGCCUGCUUUGUUUCCGACCGAAUUGAAACCCGGGCGGUCGGUUUUGACUUCUUAAAAAAACAAUAAUUUCCAUUAGACUAAGUAAACUAUUUAAAAAAAACUAAAAACAUAGUACAUCCGGAAAACCGACCACAUUCAAUAUAUUUCCUACCAAACUCAUAAUUUUAACACAGAAAACCGACCACAUGCAACACAUUUCCGACCAAACUCAUAAUUUUAACACAGAAAACCGACCAAAUUUAACUCAUUUCCGACCACAAACUCAAGUGCAGAAAGCCGACCAUUUCGUUCUGUCAUUUCUGACCGAUUUAAAACCCUGGCGGUCGGUUUUGACUUGUGAGAAAAACAAAAAAAAUUAUUCGGCCAGGUAAACUUCUAAAAAAAAAUUUUUAAAAAUUGAAACUAGCUUUUAGUAAAUUAAUAAAUUAAUAAAAAAUUAUUCAUCACUUAAAAUUUAAUUUUUAAUUUUUUUUGUUUCCAUAACAAAGUAUAAAUACUAACUAACUGAUUUCAAAUUAAUUAUUCAAACAACAGAAAAGUGUAGAAUCUUUGUGAUAUGGUCUAAUUUAAGGUACUAAUCAUGAUAGCAAAAGAAGAAAAAUAUAAAAAAAUUAUAAAGACACUAUUAUGUUACGAAUCAUGCAUUGCAGUGACACUACGUAGUGUUUUGAUUUAAAUGCUAUCACAAGUCUACUGCACAUCCAGACAUCAGAAUAAGCCUUUAAUUAGAGAUCAGAACUUGAUAAGAUUAUAGAUUAAACAAGAAGCAAUUCUGACUUUGGCCAAGUAAAUAAGUGCUAGCUCACAGUGGCAGAGCCAGACCAAUUCUAGGGUACAAAAAAUGUAGUUGUACGUGCAAAUAGAGCUGUUCGUGAACAAGCUCGAGCUCGACUCGAUAAAAACUCGGUUCGGCUCGGUUUGUUAAGAACUCGAGCUCGAGCUCGAACACAUAAAUGUGUUCGUUAAGAAAAUGAGCUCGAGCCGAGCUUUUAGUGUGUUCGGUUCGAGCUCGGCUCGUUAAAACUCGAAAAAAUACAAUAUUUUCAGGAUAAUUUCAUAAUAUAUACAUGUUACUGAAUGUCGAAUUCAACAUACAAUAUAUCAAAUUGAUGAGGAUAAUAUUAACUAUAAUAUGGCUCUGUUCGUAAACACUCCUACGUGCAAACAGUAUUUAUUGUCGAUGGGUAGAUUUGAUUCCAUGUCCUUCAUUCAAAAUAUUUAUACCUUGAAAAACUUCGCAAAUUGUUACUGCAAGAUUUAAAUAUAUACCAAGUACAUGACAAUACCCUAUAGUUCUAACAUCCACCAGCCAGGAUAAUUGUAUUUUAUGAUACAAUUAUACGUACAGUUAUCAUAUCUAAAAGUUCAGAAUGGUCCGUGGGUAUCCCAUGUACUACAUGGCUUGGCCCCUGAGCGUUUUUACAAUCAUUUCAAUGUAAAUUUGCUUGUUUAUCCCACCUCUCAUGAAACAUGAUUAUUAGCUCAAGUGUUCAGCAUGCUCAUGAAGCUGUCUAUAAUUAGCGAAGGAAAUGAAACAUAUUUUGAGAAGCAAAUUCAUGUCUAAGAGAAUUUAUGUAAUAGUGAAUAACUUAUUAAUAGGUUAUAUAUGUAGGAAUCCAGAAGAGUUGUCUUUAUAUACAGAUAUGAUCAGUGGCGGGUGUACUGGUGCUAAAGGUAGGGCAAGUGACCUACCAUUAUUUUUUUUUUCCAAUUUUUUUUUACAUUCAUAUGCCAUAUGCUUACUGAAGUAUAUAUAAUAUAUCCGGUAUGUUACCACCUCUGUCAAACUUCUCCAUUGAUUGAUGUUUUUCACUCUAAAACUUCAAGUUCUUGAUAUGAUUCAUCUCUAAAAUUCUCCUCUAUGAUACUCAUAGUUUUAGAUUGUUUAGAAAUCGUAAUUUGAAAAAGAAAAAUUAGAGACUACAAGGUGUUCGAUAAAAUGUCACGCUGAAUUUUCUCUGCAUAUGUUAAAUGUGUAACACACCAUUCACUACAUCCUGUAUCCGCCACUGGAUAUGAUGUUAGCUAUUAGAUAGAACGAUUAACCAACUAAUUGAGGGCUUUGAACGACAUAAAGAAAAAUUCAUGAGCUGGUCCUGUUUAUAAGAAAAUUAAGAAUUUCAAAAAAAGAAACAAUUCUCAAAAGUUGAUUUGAGAGUACCAACUAGGCAACUACCAAUUGCCCUGGAAUCUUGAAAUUAAUAUUGCACUUAACGCGAUCCUCUUGAUAAUCUCGAUGUCCUUAGAACUGUAGCAUGUAUAAUAAAACAAACACUACAAUUUUAUUACACAAACUCAAAGCCGCAACUUUCUAUAUUUCUAUUACAACACAAGGCUACGGCCUUUCUUUCAAACUAGAGCUUCAGCUCUUACAAAUUUUUCUCUGUUGUUGUGUUUCUGUUUCACUCCAUGUAUUCUUAACAUUCAUGCACACCAGCAUAUAUAGUGUACCUGCUGUCGUAAUCUCUUAGGUAAACAAGCUAGACAUUCUAACAUUGCAAACUGGCAGUUAGUAGUUUGAUUAUUAAGGAUUCUAGGGGGAAGGACCCACUGAGGACACUCUGGAGACUGAAAAACGGUGGGAGCACACCUGAUCAGACACGACCCGAAACCCGACCCAACCCGAAACCCGAUUUACUGAGACAAAAACCCGAAAGUGACCCGAAAAUCACCCGAUUGACCCGAAAUGGACCCGAAAUGACCCGAAAUUAAAAUUUCAUUUCUAAUAACUUCAAUUUUCAAUUUUAUUCAAUUUUAAGCGAUUUUAGCUUGACCCGAAAUCGACCCAAUUGCUGACACGAACACGACCUGUUACCCGAAAUUGCCACCUAUUGUCACGUAAACAUUUAAAUUACGAUAAUUACAGUAAUGAAGGAGUCUAUAAAAUAAAAGGGUCAUUUUUAUUAUAUAUAUAAAAGCUUCAUAAAAAGCUUAUGAGGAACAUACAUCAUUCAAACAGCUUAAAGAAGAAAUAUGUUUUCUUCAUCAGUUUUACCACCACCACAGUUGUCAAAUAUCGGGUCAACUCUCUGGGGACAAGACGCAAACUCAUACACCAUGAGGUAUUUAGGGCUGGGUUUUUUCUUGAUGCAAAUGAUGGCAUCUCUCAAGUAAAAAAAGUCUCAUCCUGCUGGCAGCCAAGAUACAUAUUGAAGCCAUCUCCAAUUUUGCUUCGAAUCGCUUUCUCGAUUGCACUUCUGGAGUAUUUCACAGUCGUUGAUAUCUUGAUACCAUUUGUGUCCAAUAACUUUGUUAUGUUGUUGAGACUGACUCUGUCCACAAAGUUGAGAUAAUCAGAAGGCGUCCAGUCUUCAAAGCACACCCCAUGUGUGUUGUACUUGUGACGCCAUAAAUUCACAGCUGGUACUCCUUGUACUAUGGGAGGCCAUGAUAUGGUUAGCCUUGCUUUAAAUCGCUCCAACUGCAUGCAUGCGUGGAACUAUGUUAUUAAUAAAUUUUUAUAUAGUAUAGUAGAGCAUAUAUUCAUAUUAGUAAUAGAGAUCAGAGAUUCAUUACCAGGGCAUCGGGGAUUCGGGGUUUCGGCUUGCCAUCUUUACCAUAGCAAUAGUCCUCCGUCAUCCCACUGGCAUUUCCAGCCCAAAUGCCGGGCAUGAAGAAUCUAUCAGGUAAGUUUGGUAUACACUUGUUGACAUACUUGCAGUAAGUGGGAGCCCAGGUAAUGGAGUACUGGUAAUGCGUAACUGCGUUGUAGGUGCCUAUUCGUGGCGGCUGGCGCUAGGCAUUAGACCCGACAAUUUUUCAUACGACAUGAAAACAUGACACGAAAACGACACAGAAAUUUAGUAUUUGCGUUUGCAUUUUGAGUACACGACAUAAAAAUACACAAAUAUGAAGUAUUUGACUGAGAUGCAAUGUCGGUUUUGUGAUUACCUUGUGGAUACAAGACACCAAGUACACGAAAUAAAUAUAAUUUUAUAAUUAAAUAUGUAUACUUAAUUAUAAAUGCAUAUUUAUAAUAACUACAUGUAUAUUUUCUUUUAACAUAACGCAUAAUUUAUAAUAUUGAAAGUAUAAAUAAUUUAAAUGUAUAUAUUUCAUAUAAUUUUGUAAUUUUUUUACCUAGAAGUCUACUCCCUCCGUCUCAUUUUAACUGUUUUUGAUUUUUUUACACUAAUUUUAAGAUGUUAAAAAAAUCACAUCUAAACAUAAUUAUUUUUUAUAAAAUUUAUAUCAAAUAAAAGUUAAUAUAAACUUUUUUUUAUAUAAGAAUUGAAUUUUUUUUAUCGAAUGUAGAUAUUGUUCUUUUACACCUCAAUAUACGUGCCAAAGAGUCAAAUAUCGGUUAAAAUGAGACAGAGGGAGUUAUAUUUACUUUAAUUUAUAUAUUUAAUUAUAUUUAUAUUCAAUUUUAUACGAAACACGCACGAGAACGGCACGAAACACGCACAAACGACAAGAAAGUACACAAACCCCCUAAAUGGGGGUCAGUUUGUGUUUUGUCUUUGAGUACACGACACGAAAAACUACAUGAUACAAAAAUAUACGAUACGAAAGAAUCUACAUGUCUACUGAGCACUAGAAAGGAUUUUAUUGCAAGCUACAACCACUAGAAACAAUACAAAAAUCUGUGUUUUCAUUUUAGAUAUAUUGUAAUAGGAAAACAGAGAGUAUGUACCCCCAACAGCAAGUGUAAACCACGCAAUGUUAACUAGGUUCAUGUUCAAGGGAGAGCCAUUAGAGAGAGAACCCAUAGAAUUCGUACCUUAUUUCUAGUACUAGUCAGGGUUCUGCAGCAGAACUUCACGUGCAAAAUAUGUCAAUACCUAUGUAUUGUAUUUCAAAAUCAUUUUUGAACACACACAAUGAUGAAAAAACAUGAAAAAAAACAUGUAUUUAGAUUUAGAUCUUAAAAAUCUAUUUAAAAUUUAGGAUUUUGCAUCAGAACCUUGGUGGUUCUCUAAUUCUAUUUCAAGGACUGGUUCUCUCUUGAGUGCGACCCAUGUUAACUAAUUUAUGUAUAAAUAUAACUGAACCCGUUUUUACUUAAUUACACCCCCAAAAAGAUGUCUAUUUAUUAAAGAAAGUUUAUUACAAUAUUCUUACUAUAAUUAUUUAUCAACUUUUAAUUUUUAGUAAAUUAUAAUUAAUUUUUAGCUUAUGAUUGCUUUUAGUUAAAUCUUAAAACAGAAGUUGGCCAAGUUACAUCACUACACAUUUUAACUUACAUAUCGCUCAUUUUUUAGUUUGCCCAGCGCCAUGCAAGUAGAAUGUAUUUUUUUUGCAAGUAAAAUAUGUAAGCGUUAUGUAAGUAGUUUUCCAAGUGCAACACAACACUUAUAUAACACUUCAAUAAACACUAUAUAAGUUGAAUGUAUAUGAGAAUAUUACUUCAAUAGCAUUUUAGAAGUGCUAUUAAAGCUAUUUUAGAAAAGCGUAAAGUGAUGCAUUACUAAAAUUUAUAAUUUUAUAAAUUUUCUAAAUUUUAUUUUUAUUCGAAUUAUUCUUCAUAUUUUGAUAAAUAUAAUAAAAACAAACAAAAUGCACAAUUUAGUUUUAUUAGAUAGAACGAUUAACCAACUAAUCGAGGGUCAAUGAAACUUGGAACGACAUAAAGAAAAAUUCAUGAGCUGGUCCUGUUUAUAAGAAAAUUAAGAAACAAUUCUCAAAAGUUGAUUUGAGAGUACCAACUAGGCAACUACCAAUUGCACUGGAAUCUUGAAAUCAUGCACUUAACGCGAUCCUUUAUCUCUUCAUCAAAACAUUGGCGUACAGACUUGUCAGAAAGCAACUCUCAUCAGAAUAGUUUGCUCACAAGUCUACAGCAACGUGGAUCCGUUGUCACGAAGAUAGGAACCAAAUUUCUUUUCCGCAAAAUCAAAUCAGUGCUUGACGGUAUUUUCUAAUUGAUGAAUUAUAUAUUUGUUCAUUUGCCUGUAGCCAUUUAAGAUUCUAUAACUGUCUAUUUGUUUUAAAAAGACUUGCCAUAAUACCUAAUUAACUACCAAUGUGUGUGUCGACCAACAUAUAUAUUCAAUAGCUAACCUAACUUGACUAAAUAGACUUGAGAUUGUAGCAUUUCGUGUCCAGUCAAUCUGGAGACGUUGUUAGUUGGUAAUGGGAAUCAAUCUGAGAAUGAUAUGUACUAGGAUAAUUGCGGAUUUUCUUUUUUAGUUUGGUCAACAUUGCCAGGCUUAGUGCUGAAACGUAGAGGCCAAAACGUAUCAUGUCAAGUCAUAACCAAAUUCUUUUUAGAGAUAUGUAAUUUACAGGUUGGUUGUAGUCCGAAUAUUAAUUUGGUCAAGUUUAUCGUGGUAAAAAAAAGAACGGAUCACAAAGAAGUGUGUAAUUUCAUGAUACAAGCAUAUUAUUAAGUAUUAACCAUGUGUGAUUUGUGAGGAUAAAUAAGGUCAUUGGCCACCAUAAAAGAAAUCGGUGGUAUCAUUUAAUAUUUAGAAAAAUACCUGAACAAAUUUUAGGCAACUGAUAUUUAACGGGAAUGUGUAAUUUUUAAUUAUACUAAACCUCAUGCAUACACCAAUAUAAGUUUAUUUAAUUUAAAAUAUAAGUUUGGUGUACACUCACCCACAUACUUGCAGUAAGUGGGAGCCCAAGUAAUGGAGUACUGGUAAUGUGCGACUGCCUUAUAGUUGCCUAUUCGUGGCGGCUGGUGCUCGUGCGACUGCCUUGUAGUUGCCUAUUCGUGGCGGCUGGGGCUGAGCACCAGAAAGGAUAUUGCAAGCUGCUACAACAACCAGAAACAAUAGAAAAAUAUGUGGUUUUAUCAUUUUAGUUAUAUUUUAGUAGUAAAAUAGAGAGAAUGUAGCUAGUGAAGAUGAUUAAUGAUUCAUGCACGCAGAAACCGAAUUUAUACUAGUUAACAUCAACAAGCUAGUGUUAAACCAUGCACGUAUGAUAACAAAUUUAUGUAUGAAUUUAACUCAACACGUUUUUACUAUAAUUAUUUAUUAAGAAAGUUUGUUACAAUAUUUUUACUAUAAUUAUUUAUUAACUUUUAAUUUUUAGUUUAUAUAAUUGCUUUUACUUAUAUCUCUUGAAACACAAAUUGGCCAAGUUAAUUCGUUUGUUAAAACCUUAGAUGUUGACUUGCACAUUACAAGAUUGUUUAGUUUAUUAAUGAAAGUUGUUACAACAUUCUUACUAUGAUUUUCUAUUAACCUUUAAUUUUUGGAAAAUUUAUUUUUUUUUGCUUAUAAUUGCUUUUUUUUUGUCAGGUUGCUUAUAAUUGCUUUUAGUUAAAUGUUGAAACAUAACUUGCCCUAAUUAAUACGUCUGUUAAAACCUUAUACGUGCACUCCAAUAUUAACCCAUUAAAGAAACUAGUUGAGAAGGCGCGCGCUGCGGCGGCCUAUAAAAAUUAUAUUAAUGAUUCAAUAUUAAAAUUUGAAGAAAUUUUGUGGCUGUCUAUAAAAAAUAUAUUAAUAAUUAAAAAUUAAUAUUUGUAGGAUAAAAUAAAUAUUAUAUUAUAAAAAUCUUGAUGUAAUACCAAUACUAAUAUAUAAAAUUGCAAAAUUGGACUAUAAUUCAUGGUGAAAAAUUGAAAAUAAAUUUCUACACGUAAUUAACAUUUUAAAACACGACGAAUCUUAAUUUUAUUUAUGUGUUUUUUUAAAGUAAUAAUGUUCUUACAUUGUCACCUUCCUCCAAUUUUUUUUGGAUUGGUUGUGCACAAAAACAUCUAACUUAAAUUCGUGAUAUAGCGGUCUAUAAUUACCCUUGCUUGUAACAAGCUUUAUUUUUUUAAUACUGUAUAAACAGUCUUCACUUAAAAGUUCCUUGAACGGAGCAAACAGAUAAUACAUGAAUAAUUUUUUCAUGUAUACAAAGUAAAUCAUAUGAAAAUUAAAAACAAAUAUGUCCGAUGAACAUAACAAAUAUUAUAAAAGAAUAACCAACAAACAUACAUUACUAAUAGUUAAUUUAUUGAUAUCAUCCAUCAAUAUCAAGCAAACAGAUAAUACAUGAAUAAUUUUUUCAUGUAUACAAAGUAAAUCAUAUGAAAAUUAAAAACAAAUAUGUCCGAUGAACAUAACAAAUAUUAUAAAAGAAUAACCAACAAACAUACAUUACUAAUAGUUAAUUUAUUGAUAUCAUCCAUCAAUAUCAUGUCAAGACUAUAUUCUUAUCCCGUGUUUGGAUUUGUCGACUCCCAUAGCGGUCUAUAACUACCUUUGAUUGCAAUAACCUUUAUUUUUUUUAAUAUCGUAUAAACAUCCUUCACUUAUCGUUGUAGAAUAACGGCAACACCGAGUUAAAAUCGAGCAAAAGAACUAUCACUGGAGAGAGGUAGGGUUGUGGUAUUGAGAGAGAGUAGGUUGUGUUUAGAUGAUCCAAAACCUUACAACCUAUAGGGGUAUUUAUAGGUGUAGAGAGACUUGUGUGCUACUCUUUACCAUAAUUAAAUAAUCUGAAACAGAAUCAGAUUCUUAAACUUACUUCUAAUAUAUUCGAAACUAAAAAAAAAGGUAGUUCUAAUUUUUGAUAUUUUUCAUCCGAAAAUUCCAGAAAAUUAGAAAAAUAAAACAGAGCGGUGUGAGAGGUGCCACAUACACGCCCCUCGCUUCUCCUUUAUAUAGAAACAAAAUCAGAUUAAAACUUUCAAACUACUAUAUUCCAUAGAUAAUCUGAAACAAAAUCAAAUUCUGAAACCUGCUUCUAACAUAUCCGAAAGUAAUUCUAAUUUUUGAUAAUUUUCAUCCGCUUCUCCUUUAUACAAAUAUAUUGAUUUUGUAUCUUGAAGCAAUUAAGUUCUUGUUAUUAAUUUAUUAUAGGCUUUAAUAAUAGGUUAUAUAACUAGCGGAAAGUUAGCGGUAAGCAAAUUGCAUUUUCUUUAUUAUCAUAUUUUACCAGUCUUGUAUCUUGUAAGAGACGCAACUCUUGAAAUCCGUCUGACAUAUGAGGCAAAAAAUUGUGUAUGCAGUGUCGAGCAACCUAAUAGCUUUGCU